CUGAGAAUGAUUCUUCGGAUGAAGUCUCUUGUGACUGAGUGGCGGACGGGUGAGUAACGCGUGGGUAACCUGCCUCACACAGGGGGAUAACAGUUGGAAACGACCGCUAAUACCGCAUAACCCGCUGGUGCCGCAUGGCACUGACGGAAAAGAUUUUAUCGGUGUGAGAUGGACCCGCGUCUGAUUAGCCAGUUGGCAGGGUAACGGCCUACCAAAGCGACGAUCAGUAGCCGGCCUGAGAGGGUGAACGGCCACAUUGGGACUGAGACACGGCCCAGACUCCUGCGGGAGGCAGCAGUGGGGAAUAUUGCACAAUGGGGGAAACCCUGAUGCAGCGACGCCGCGUGAGUGAAGAAGUAUUUCGGUAUGUAAAGCUCUAUCAGCAGGGAAGAAAAUGACGGUACCUGAUUAAGAAGCCCCGGCUAACUACGUGCCAGCAGCCGCGGUAAUACGUAGGGGGCAAGCGUUAUCCGGAUUUACUGGGUGUAAAGGGAGCGUAGACGGUGAUGCAAGUCAGAAGUGAAAGCCCGGGGCUCAACUCCGGGACUGCUUUUGAAACUGUGUGACUGGAGUGCAGGAGAGGUAAGCGGAAUUCCUGGUGUAGCGGUGAAAUGCGUAGAUAUCAGGAGGAACACCAGUGGCGAAGGCGGCUUACUGGACUGUAACUGACGUUGAGGCUCG
This 681-nucleotide ribosomal RNA is filed under the name uncultured bacterium. Its description in RNAcentral is "bacterial SSU rRNA". It matches the Rfam family "Bacterial small subunit ribosomal RNA", at positions 67 to 755 of the family's 1533-position model. The record is from RNAcentral.